GUCUCUCUUUAUCUUCGUCUAGUUUCUUGUUCUUUCUUCUUCCUUCCGGUUCCCUUGUGAGGCUGCGAAGCCUCCGCGGGACUAGAUACAAAGGGCGAGGCAGCCGCGGAAGGAUACUACAAAGAGCUAGCGCGCGAGAGGGAGAGACGACAGUAAGGAUAUUCACGAUGACGACGAGGAAGAGGAGACGAGACGACAGACGCGGCGCCCUCGUUGCCUCCGUCCGCCUCUUCCUCCUCCUUCUCCUACCCUCUGCCGCUUCGUCGUCCUCCUCCUCCUCUAGCUCCCUUCGGCAGCAGAGCAAGAUCAUCACCCAUCUCCCCGGCUUCGACGGCCCGCUCCCCUUCCAGCUCCAAACGGGG
RNAcentral lists this ribosomal RNA (362 nucleotides) under Triticum aestivum (bread wheat). RNAcentral's name for it is "partial small subunit ribosomal RNA". The record is from RNAcentral. Lineage: Eukaryota; Viridiplantae; Streptophyta; Magnoliopsida; Poales; Poaceae.